CACGUAGGGCGCAAGCGUUGUCCGGAAUUAUUGGGCGUAAAGAGCUCGUAGGCGGUCUGUUGCGUCCGCUGUGAAAACCCGGGGCUUAACCCUGGGCUGGCAGUGGAUACGGACAGACUAGAGGUAGGUAGGGGAGAAUGGAAUUCCCGGUGUAGCGGUGAAAUGCGCAGAUAUCGGGAGGAACACCGGUGGCGAAGGCAGGUCUCUGGGCUGACACUGACGCUCAUGCACGAAAGCGUGGGGAGCAAACAGG
RNAcentral lists this ribosomal RNA (253 nucleotides) under uncultured bacterium. Its description in RNAcentral is "partial 16S ribosomal RNA". It matches the Rfam family "Bacterial small subunit ribosomal RNA", at positions 524 to 776 of the family's 1533-position model. The record is from RNAcentral.